UUCAGUAUUUUCAGAUAACUCCAUGACAGCAUAAAAUAUUCAGGAACAAGUUUCUUCAAAAAAGUGAUCACCAACUGUACACAGGAGAGAUUGGGCACGGACAAGUGACUUCUGUUCAUCUAGGUGAGGCCAUGUCAUUAAUUCUGAACAGAAGAAUGUGAGAUAGGAUGCCAUACGUCACUUCCAGGCCAAGGAGCCAGUGUCUUUCUUUCUGUGGACUGCCAUGUGACCAUCAGGCAACUCUUCAUCUUGUAAAUUGUCCUGGCCGGAGCUCCUAAAACCUUUGUAAUUUCCUGAGUGGUGAGGGAUAACAGGAACAUCUUACACAGAGCUCCUCAAUCCUAUUAAAUUUCAUGAGUGAUAGGAUCGUCUUUUGUUCUAAUGAGAUGACUCAAUAGUCUUCUGGAUGAGGGGCUGAUUAGCAGAAAGAUCAGAUUUGAUUAGAAGCUUAUGGGCAGCCUGGGUGGCUCAGCAGUUUAGCGCUUGCCUUUGGCCCAGGGCAUGAUCCUGGAGUCCCGGGAUGGAGUCCCACGUCGGGCUCCCUGCAUGGAACCUGCUUCUCCCUCUGCCUGUGUCUCUGCCUCUUUCUCUCUGGAUCUCUCAUGAAUAAAUAAAUAAAAUAUUAAAAAAAAAAAAAGCUUAUAACUUUCAGCUCCAUCUCCCAUACUCCAGGAGGGGUGGAGGAGCUAGGGAUUAAGUUAAUAAUCGAUCAUGCCUAUGUGGUGAAGCCUCCUCCAUAACAAUUUCUAAAGUACAGGGUUUGCUGGGAUUCUAGGUUGGUGAACACAUUGCUGAGCUAGGCGAUGGGUGUAGCCUCAACUCCAAGGAUAGCAGAUCCUGAACUUCUGGGCCUCACCCUCUCUGUGUCUUCAUCUGUAUCAUUUACCAUAUCCUUUAUUACAUAAUAAACUGGUAAAUAUAAGUAAGUACUUGCCUGAAUUCUGUGAGCCAUCCUAGUGAAUUAUUGAA
Canis lupus familiaris (dog) is the source of this 969-nucleotide long non-coding RNA. RefSeq lists it as uncharacterized. The record is from RefSeq and is a predicted model, not a curated record. Lineage: Eukaryota; Metazoa; Chordata; Mammalia; Carnivora; Canidae. The transcript has 3 exons.